This 484-nucleotide ribosomal RNA is filed under the name uncultured bacterium. RNAcentral describes it as "partial 16S ribosomal RNA". It matches the Rfam family "Bacterial small subunit ribosomal RNA", at positions 30 to 507 of the family's 1533-position model. The record is from RNAcentral.
AUUGAACGCUGGCGGCAGGCCUAACACAUGCAAGUCGAGCGGAUGAAGGGAGCUUGCUCCUGGAUUCAGCGGCGGACGGGUGAGUAAUGCCUAGGAAUCUGCCUGGUAGUGGGGGAUAACGUCCGGAAACGGGCGCUAAUACCCCAUACGUCCUGAGGGCGAAAGGGGGGGAGCUUCGGACCUCCCGCUAUCGGAUGAGCCUAGGUCGGAUUAGCUAGUUGGUGGGGUAAAGGCCUACCAAGGCGACGAUCCGUAACUGGUCUGAGAGGAUGAUCAGUCACACUGGAACUGAGACACGGUCCAGACUCCUACGGGAGGCAGCAGUGGGGAAUAUUGGACAAUGGGCGAAAGCCUGAUCCAGCCAUGCCGCGUGUGUGAAGAAGGUCUUCGGAUUGUAAAGCACUUUAAGUUGGGAGGAAGGGCAGUAAGUUAAUACCUUGCUGUUUUGACGUUACCAACAGAAUAAGCACCGGCUAACUUCGUG